Molecule: ribosomal RNA, 489 nt
Filed under: uncultured bacterium
Lineage: Bacteria
Description: bacterial SSU rRNA
Rfam family: Bacterial small subunit ribosomal RNA
Source: RNAcentral
CUGGCUCAGGAUUAACGCUGGCGGCGUGCCUAAUACAUGCAAAGUCGAAUGGUAGUAGCAAUACAAACCAUGGCGAACGGGUGAGUAACACGUAGGUAACCUGUCUUUAAGACGAGGAUAACCGUUGGAAACGACGGAUAAUACUGGAUAGGACAUCACAAAGGGCAUCCUUAGAUGUUUAAAGAUUAUUAUGUCACUUAGAGAGGGGCCUGCGGCGCAUUAGCUAGUUGGUGAGGUAAGAGCCCACCAAGGCGAUGAUGCGUAGCCGGACUGAGAGGUUGAACGGCCACAAUGGAACUGAGAACGGUCCAUACUCCUACGGGAGGCAGCAGUAGGGUAAUUUUCGGCAAUGGGCGCAAGCCCUGACCGAGCAACGCCGCGUGAACGAAGAAGUUAUUCGUAAUGUAAAGUUUCUUUUAUCUGGGAAAGAAAAAACAAAUUGACGGUACCAGAUGAAUAAGCUCCGGCUAACUACGUGCCAGCCGCCGC